UACUCGUUGUUAUUAUCACGCGUUAGAGGCGUGGGGCUUCGGGGGGAGUAGUCUGCUACAUGCCACCCCUCCCCUUUUGUGUACUUCACUAGAGUGUGACGUUACCUUAUGAGAAAGCACGGCUAACUACGUGCCAGCAGCCGCGGUAAUACGUAGGUGGCGAGCGUUAUCCGGAAUUAUUGGGCGUAAAGAGCGCGCAGGUGGUUGAUUAAGUCUGAUGUGAAAGCCCACGGCUCUAACCGUGGAGGGUCAUUGGAAACUGGUCGACUUGAGUGCAGAAGAGGGAAGUGGAAUUCCAUGUGUAGCGGUGAAAUGCGUAGAGAUAUGGAGGAACACCAGUGGCGAAGGCGGCUUCCUGGUCUGUAACUGACACUGAGGCGCGAAAGCGUGGGGAGCAAACAGGAUUAGAUACCCUGGUAGUCCACGCCGUAAACGAUGAGUGCUAAGUGUUGGGGGUCGCACCUCAGUGCUGAAGUUAACGCAUUAAGCACUCCGCCUGGUGAGUACGGUCGCAAGACUGAAACUCAUAGGAAUUGACGGGGACCCGCACAAGCGGUGGAGCAUGUGGUUUAAUUUCGAAGCAACGCGAAGAACCUUACCAGGUCUUGACAUACCAUUGACCGCUCUAGAGAUAGGAUUUUCCCUUCGGGACAAUGGAUACAGGUGGUGCAUGAUUGUCGUCAGCUCGUGUCGUGAGAUG
This 700-nucleotide ribosomal RNA is filed under the name uncultured Turicibacter sp. RNAcentral's name for it is "bacterial SSU rRNA". It matches the Rfam family "Bacterial small subunit ribosomal RNA", at positions 359 to 1074 of the family's 1533-position model. The record is from RNAcentral. Lineage: Bacteria; Bacillati; Bacillota; Erysipelotrichia; Erysipelotrichales; Turicibacteraceae.